GAUGAACGCUGGCGGCGUGCCUAAUACAUGCAAGUCGAGCGAACGGACGAGAAGCUUGCUUCUCUGAUGUUAGCGGCGGACGGGUGAGUAACACGUGGAUAACCUACCUAUAAGACUGGGAUAACUUCGGGAAACCGGAGCUAAUACCGGAUAAUAUUUUGAACCUCAUGUUUCAAAAGUGAAAUACGUUCUUUCUUUCACUUAUAGAUGGAUCCUCGCUGCAUUAGCUAGUUGGUAAGGUAACGGCUUACCAAGGCAACGAUGCAUAGCCGACCUGAGAGGGUGAUCGGCCACACUGGAACUGAGACACGGUCCAGACUCCUACGGGAGGCAGCAGUAGGGAAUCUUAAGCAAAGGGCGAAAGCCUGAAGGAGACAAGAAGAGUGAGUGAUGAAGGUCUUCGGAUCGUAAAACUCUGUUAUUAGGGAAGAACAUAUGUGUAAGUAACUGUGAAAAUCUUGAAGGUACCUAAUAAGAAAGCAAAGGAUAAAUAAGUG
RNAcentral lists this ribosomal RNA (497 nucleotides) under uncultured bacterium. Its description in RNAcentral is "partial 16S ribosomal RNA". It matches the Rfam family "Bacterial small subunit ribosomal RNA", at positions 28 to 507 of the family's 1533-position model. The record is from RNAcentral.